RNAcentral lists this microRNA precursor (162 nucleotides) under Daucus carota subsp. sativus. Its description in RNAcentral is "sRNA DCAR_mi00136". It matches the Rfam family "MIR390 microRNA precursor family". The record is from Rfam by way of RNAcentral. Lineage: Eukaryota; Viridiplantae; Streptophyta; Magnoliopsida; Apiales; Apiaceae.
UAGCAGGAUCUGUAAAGCUCAGGAGGGAUAGCGCCGUAGAGGAUGAUAUGAUAAAGCAUCAUGUGUGUAAUAAGACUUUGUUUGGAUGAAUCAUUCCAAACAUCAUCUUCUACCUAUCAACAACAUUGGCGCUAUCUAUUCUGAGUUUCACGGCUCCUUCAU